Molecule: ribosomal RNA, 598 nt
Filed under: uncultured bacterium
Lineage: Bacteria
Description: bacterial SSU rRNA
Rfam family: Bacterial small subunit ribosomal RNA
Source: RNAcentral
CCAGACUCUACGGGAGGCAGCAGUGAGGAAUAUUGGUCAAUGGGCGAGAGCCUGAACCAGCCAAGUCGCGUGAAGGACGACGGUUCUAUGGAUUGUAAACUUCUUUUGUAGAGGAAUAACGGUAGCUACGUGUAGCUGAGAUGCAUGUACUCUACGAAUAAGUAUCGGCUAACUCCGUGCCAGCAGCCGCGGUAAUACGGAGGAUACGAGCGUUAUCCGGAAUUAUUGGGUUUAAAGGGUGCGUAGGUGGCGUAUUAAGUCAGUGGUGAAAAGCUGCAGCUCAACUGUAGUCUUGCCGUUGAAACUGAUAUGCUAGAGAGGAGACGAGGUAUGCGGAAUGUGUGGUGUAGCGGUGAAAUGCAUAGAUAUCACACAGAACGCCGAUUGCGAAGGCAGCGUACCAGGCUCCGUCUGACACUGAAGCACGAAAGCGUGGGGAUCAAACAGGAUUAGAUACCCUGGUAGUCCACGCAGUAAACGAUGAAUACUAGAUUUUUGCGAUAUACUGUAAGAGUCUAAGCGAAAGCGAUAAGUAUUCCACCUGGGGAGUACGCCGGCAACGGUGAAACUCAAAGGAAUUGACGGGGGCCCGCACAAG